UCUACCUGCCCGCCCGCCCGCACACCUUGGGCUGAAGCAGACACAUCAGGCUGGGGACACUGGAUCCACAAACGCUCACCAGCUCCUGUCCCCAUCUCCUUCCAGAGAGAGAGAGGGUCUGGGGGUGCAGCUCUCCGUUUCCCCACCCCAGCUCUCAAAGACGAUUUAGGGAAGGAGCCAGUCUUCUCCUGCAGGGCUUCCCCUCCCUGUGUCCUCCCAAACCUCCCCAUGCUGGGUCACCUCUCCCCAAAAUCAGUCCUAAACCUUCUGGAAACAACAACAACAAAUCUUUGGGUCUCUAAGCCCUACAAGCAGGGCCAGCUAAGAUUCAGGGGAAUUUCUAUUCUCGCCCCGUCCCUGUGGGAACGUGGGCUAGUGCCUCCUCUCCUCAUCUCAGGUCCCUCUUCCCCUGAGCUACACCCUCAGCCCUUUUUAUUCUUUUUAUUUUCAGAUAGGAUCUCGCUAAGAGGCCCAAGUGGCCUCGAACUUGCAACCCUCCUGCCCCAGGCUCCAGAGUCCCUAGGAUUCAGAUGUCACCUCUUCAGAGCGGCUUCCCUGAACCCUCACUGAAGUAGCUGCCUGACUUCUUUGUAGCCCUUGGUGAGAUUCCCUGUCUAUUUAUCAUGUGCCUCGCACAUCGCAGCUGGAAUCUUGUCUGAUGUGCUCUCUGCUGGGUCCCUGGGGGGUCCCUGGCACCUAGAAAGCAUCACAGAGAAAAUUAGCUAUGGAAAAAAAGGGGGGGGGAGGGCUCUUGGUAAACACGUGUUGAAUUAUUUUUUUGCCACAAAUGCUUUUAUUUUAUAAUUGAAAUGGAAGCUCUUGCCAGACAUGAUGGCACAUGCCUGUAAUGCCAGGGACUCUGGAGGCUGAGGCAGGAGGGUCACAAGUUUGAGGCCAGUCCCAGCAAUUUAGCAAGGCCCCAAGCAGCUUAGCAAAUAAAAUUUAAAAAAAGACUGGGGAUGUGGCCCAGUGGGAAAGCACCCCUGGGUUCAAUCCCCAGGACCUGAAAAGAAAAAACAGGAAGCCCUUGACUUUAGAGCCCAGUUCUCACUACGGUGCCUGUUCUCCAAGCACGACAAUUACUCUGAGUUUACCGUACUUCUCUCUAGUCCAUUUUCCGCCUCCGUAAAUGAACAGUGUCGAGUAUUACAGCCGGCCCUCUGUAUCUGCGGGUUUUGAAUUUACAGAUUCAUGCAACCGAGCAUUGAAAAUAAUCUAAAACACAAUAAAAUGUUGCACGUGUACUGAGCACGCCCAGACUUCUUUCUGUGUUUAUUCCCUGAGCAGCCUGACAACUCUCCCGGGGCACUCAGGUAUUAGAAGGAUCUGGAGAUGGUGGAGAGUAGCCAGGAGAACGUUUGCGGUUAUAUGCAAACACUGUGGAGCGGGGACUUGAGCGUCCCUGGGUUUUUGUAUUUGAAGGAAGAGGUCCUGGAACCCAUCCCUGUGGACAGUGAGAGAUGACUGCUUCCCGCAGUCAGGGUCGACGUCUCCACCACCAAUGUUUCUGAGAACAUUCCAAGUUGAUGGGUUCUGGGUUCCGAUCUGACCCCCACCCCCACCCCAUCCACUCCUUGCCCCGUCUGCUUCCCUGUCGCGGCUGUUGGUGUUGAACCUCUACUCUGUCCCCUGCGCGGCCAUGCACAUGCUGACACCUGCCUUCCCAGGCACGGGGCUAAGAGUUUCUCUAGGUCGUGAACCUAGAAAGUAGAACUGCCGGGCAGGCAGGGGGCGGGGCUGCACAUUUUCCUUUUUGCUGGGUCCUGCCAAAUCCCUCUCCCUAGGAGCAGUACCCACGAUGGAGCGGGCCAGCGGCUCGUGAGACUCCCACGUGCCACGUCUGCAGCCGCUGGGAACCCACAGGAGUUUCCUUCUACAGCCUCGGUGUCUUCCAAGUGCUUCCCGCUCUCGCCUCCCCAAGGCCCUGCAGGAUUCCUCUUAUUUGAUGGAUGAGCGAGGGGGACCCUGGGUCUCUCUGGGGACCCUCUAACCCCACUCCCACUCCCUUGUCCUCCAUUCUGUCCAACUCUACCCCCCCUCACUGCGUCUCAUUCCAGCCCAGGGGGACCUAAGGAGCAGCUGGUCCCUUCCCGGACCACAAGUCUCCAGACUCGGAGAAGAGCGGCAGCUGGCUUCCCAUUUAGGUCCUUCACACAUCUGGGCUGGAGGAACGUAAGGCCCAGAGACCUAACCGUCGUUCUCUCACCAUAGACCAGUCUGCCCAGCUUUCCACUGUUUCCCACGUGGUGCUGAGAAUCGAACCCAGCAUCUCAUACGUUCUUGGCAACUGCUCUACCACUGAGCCCCAGCCCCAGCCAUACAUAUAUAUAGCCUAUGUAUAUUUAUUAUCUCUCUGUAUAUAUGUAUAUAUAAAAUAUGUAUAUGUAUUUAAAAUGUUCUAUAUAUAUGUGUGUGUGUGUGUGUAUAUGUAAUAUAUAUACAUAUGUAUAUUUAAAAAUCCAUUUGUCAAGUUCCUGAAACUCCAACUGGGAUUUAAGUCGCUUCACUAAAGCGAUGGGUGGAUUUGGGGGAGAGUGAACAUCGCCGCGGCAUCAGUUUAUCCCAUCCAUGAACGUAGUGCACCCUUCAUUCGUUCUGCACUUCGCCCACAUCUUUUCGUGGUGGGGCAGGGGUGAAAGGAGCCUGCACACCCUCCCGAAUCUCUUCUUCUACAUCUGGGAUCUACUGAUACCUGCGGUAACCCCAGGAGUGCUGAACGGCAGGGCCUGAUGCUACUGUUUUAUAGAUUAUUUGAA
Molecule: long non-coding RNA, 2756 nt
Organism: Marmota monax (woodchuck)
Lineage: Eukaryota; Metazoa; Chordata; Mammalia; Rodentia; Sciuridae
Exons: 4
Source: RefSeq, a predicted model, not a curated record